This 1277-nucleotide long non-coding RNA is filed under the name Heterocephalus glaber (naked mole-rat). RNAcentral's name for it is "lncRNA (ENSHGLG00100052616.1)". The record is from RNAcentral. Lineage: Eukaryota; Metazoa; Chordata; Mammalia; Rodentia; Bathyergidae.
CUUCCCCGGAUGGAAGUGGGUGCGGGGCGAGGGUCCGGGUCGGCGAUCGCCGCCCGCCAGGAGUCCUAGGAAUGUGGGAACGCAGUGGUCUGAAGGGAAUCCCAUUAUGUAGUUCAGGCUGACCUUGAACUCACUAUGUAACCCAGACUGUCCUCUAACCCUAGAGGAUCCUCCUGCCUCAGCCUCCCAAGUACUGGGAUUACAGGGAUGGAACUCGGGUCCUUGUGCUUGCGCAGCAGGCGGCGAAACCACUGAGCUAAAUCCCCGGCCCUGUUUAACUCUUUUGACUAAAGAUUGUACUUGCCGCUUUGCCUUUUCAAAGCUGAAAUUCCUUGAGGCUGAACAUUGUGUCUUAAUGCAAACAGUCAUUCUCCAAGUUAUUUGUUUUGGAAAUAUUACUUCUUCCUGUAUCAGAUUUACCUUAAGGUAAUUCCAGUUCUCAUGGGCUUCCUCAAGAUGUGGAUGGCAUAAAGGACACAGAUACCAAGAAGAGCUCACCAUCAUGGCUUUCCUCACGAUAGGCUGCCCUGCUUUCUCCAGAUGAGAAGAACCUGGAAUCUAACUCCAGAAGGAGAGAUGAGCAACCCAGAACCUGCUAAUGCUUAAUUGGUGAGCCACCUUUGGAAGCAGGCUACCCAGAAACAGAAGGAGGAUCACCUUGAGUUCGAGGCCAGCCUGGGCUACAUAGUGAGUUCGAGGCCAGCCUGGACUACAUACAUAGCAAGACCCUGUCUCAAAAAGACCAAAUAAAUAAUAAAUGAAUAAAUAAAUGUCUGAAUUGGAAUUCAAAAAGAAAAGAAGAAAAGUAAUUCCGUGUUGUCCCCUAAGACAUUAUAAGAUUUAACUGAAAAGAAUCAGUUGACUGUCUUUUUCUUUUUUUCUAUGAAUAGAACAGUAAGGACAAAGAUGAACAGUAGUAUUUUUCUUCUGUGCAGUUCCCUUCCAUGUUUUGGGCAGUAGAGAAAGGGAGAGGCAAAUUUCUCCCCAGUCCCUCGUUUCUCUCCCUCUAGCAGGGUGUUUUCUGUAAUUGGCUUUCCACAUUUGCCAAGAGUCUGUUUCCUCUUAACAUCCAACAUGCUUAACAGAAGCCUUGUAAUAGUUCCAAAAAUGAUAAAACCAGACCCAAGAAUAAAAUGAUACACACGACACAUUUGUUUUGGCCAUAGCUUUGGUUAAGUUCUUUUAAAUAAUUUAGGGUUAAAUGUGGUAGAAAUAAAGAUGUUUUCUUCACAGUAAUAAGACCAAAAAGAUGCAGUCAGUGACUCGUGCAGGGUUCA